GAACGAACGCUGGCGGCGUGGCUAAGACAUGCAAGUCGAACGAGCUAGGCAAUUGAGCAAUCGAACGCCUAGUUAGUGGCGAAAGGGUUAGUAAUGGCUAGGUAACGUACCCCGUACUUCGGGAUAGCGUCUGAGUGCUUGCACUCUUCCGAAAGGGGCAUUAAUACCGAAUGAUAUCCCCCGUCGAUGGGCGGGUGAUCAAAGAUUUAUCGGUGCAGGGGCGGCCUAGUUCCUAUCAGCUAGUUGGUGAGGUAACGGCCCACCAAGGCGAUGACGGGUAGCGGGACUGAGAGGUUGGCCCGCAACAUCGGGACUGAGACACUGCCCGGACCUCCACGGAGGGCUGCAGUAACGAAUAUUGGGCAAUGAGCGAAAGCUUGACCCAGCGACGCCGCGUGUAGGAGGAAGUCCUUCGGGAUGUAAACUACUGUCAGGGGGAAGAAAGUCCGUUUCGGCGGAUUGAUCUAACCCAGAGGAAGUCACGGCUAACUUCGUGCCAGCAGCCGCGGUAAGACGAAGGUGGCAAGCGUUGUUCGGAAUCACUGGGCUUAAAGCGUGUGUAGGCGGAAGCGUAAGCGUUUUGUGAAAUCCCUCGGCUUAACCGAGGAAUUGCUUGACGAACUGCGCUUCUUGAGGCAGGUAGGGGUGCGAGGAACUCUUGGUGGAGCGGUGGAAUGCGUAGAUAUCAAGAGGAACGCCGGUGGAGAAGUCGUUGCACUGGGCCUGUCCUGACGCUGAGACACGAAAGCGUGGGGAGCGAACGGGAUUAGAUACCCCGGUAGUCCACGCCGUAAACGAUGCCUACUAGGUUGUGGCGGUUCUGACGCCGGCACAGCCGAAGCCAAAGUGUUAAGUAGGCCGCCUGGGGAGUACGGUCGCAAGGCUAAAACUCAAAGGAAUUGACGGGGGCUCACACAAGCGGUGGAGCAUGUGGAUUAAUUCGAAGCAACGCGCAGAACCUUACCUGGGUUUGACAUGCUUGGAUGCCCGCCUGGAAACAGGUUGGGCUGCCUUCGGGUGAAACUUGCGCAGGUGCUGCAUGGCUGUCGUCAGCUCGUGUCGUGAGAUGUCGGGUUAAGUCCUCUAACGAGCGAAACCCUUGCCGUUAGUUACCAGCGGGUCAUGCCGGGAACUCUAACGGGACUGCCGGUGUUAAACCGGAGGAAGGUGGGGAUGACGUCAGGUCAUCAUGGCCUUUAUGCCCAGGGCCUCACACGUGCUACAAUGGUCGGAACAAAGCGACGCAAGACCGCGAGGUGGCGCAAAUCGCAAAAAUCCGGCCCCAGUUCGGAUUGCAGGCUGGCAACUCGCCUGCAUGAAGUUGGAAUCGCUAGUAAUCGCGUAUCAGCGAUGACGCGGUGAAUGUGUUCCUGAGCCU
This 1378-nucleotide ribosomal RNA is filed under the name uncultured bacterium. Its description in RNAcentral is "bacterial SSU rRNA". It matches the Rfam family "Bacterial small subunit ribosomal RNA", at positions 27 to 1381 of the family's 1533-position model. The record is from RNAcentral.